Oncorhynchus keta (chum salmon) is the source of this 460-nucleotide long non-coding RNA. RefSeq lists it as uncharacterized. The record is from RefSeq and is a predicted model, not a curated record. Lineage: Eukaryota; Metazoa; Chordata; Actinopteri; Salmoniformes; Salmonidae. The transcript is spliced from 3 exons.
GGAGGGGAUGGUGUCUGUGGAGUGGGAAGGUGAACAGUGCACACGGCAGGAGGAGGGGAUGGUGUCUGUGGAGUGGGAAGGUGAACAGUGCACACAGCAGGAGGAGGGGAUGGUGUCUGUGGAGUGGGAAGGUGAACAGUGCACACGGCAGGAGGAGGGGAUGGUGUCUGUGGAGUGGGAAGGUGAACAGUGCACACAGCAGGAGGAGGGGAUGGUGUCUGUGGAGUGGGAAGGUGAACAGUGCACACGGCAGGAGGAGGGGAUGGUGUCUGUGGAGUGGGAAGGUGAACAGUGCACACAGCAGGAGGAGGGGAUGGUGUCUGUGGAGUGGGAAGGUGAACAGUGCACACAGCAGGAGGAGGGAGCUUGGUGUCUGUGGAGUGGGAAGGUGAACAGUGCACACAGCAGGAGGAGGGGAUGGUGUCUGUGGAGUGGGAAGGUGAACAGUGCACACAGCAGG